This 66-nucleotide transfer RNA is filed under the name Typhlatya miravetensis. RNAcentral describes it as "tRNA-Phe". It matches the Rfam family "tRNA". Rfam says of the family: Transfer RNA (tRNA) molecules are approximately 80 nucleotides in length. Their secondary structure includes four short double-helical elements and three loops (D, anti-codon, and T loops). Lineage: Eukaryota; Metazoa; Arthropoda; Malacostraca; Decapoda; Atyidae. The record is from RNAcentral.
ACUUAUAUAGCUUACGGAAAGCGCUACAUUGAAGCUGUAGAGAAGGUGUAUUUUAACCUAUAAGUG